Melitaea cinxia (Glanville fritillary) is the source of this 258-nucleotide long non-coding RNA. RefSeq lists it as uncharacterized. The transcript has 2 exons. The record is from RefSeq and is a predicted model, not a curated record. NCBI's taxonomy places the organism in Eukaryota, Metazoa, Arthropoda, Insecta, Lepidoptera, Nymphalidae.
AUUGACUAUAAAUAAGUCAUUAAGUAUUGUAUCAGUUGCUAGAAGUUUCAUAAUCUUGUUAGUCUUCGUUUUGCGUUGUUCAGAAUAACUAAGUAGUUUAGAAUAACUUACCACCAAAACUGAACUUGAAGAAAACUCAAGUACCAGUGACGCCAGGCUACGCAACACACGUGGAUUAUUUGUAAGACUACAUUUAUAUUAAUUGUUAAUUACGCAUGUAAAGAAUAUCUAAAUAAACUGUAGUUUUUAUCAAUAUUC